Molecule: long non-coding RNA, 768 nt
Organism: Mesocricetus auratus (golden hamster)
Lineage: Eukaryota; Metazoa; Chordata; Mammalia; Rodentia; Cricetidae
Exons: 3
Source: RefSeq, a predicted model, not a curated record
AAAGGGAUAUCAACCCCCCUGCACCCCAACAUCCGUCCUUCUCUGCUUACUUUCUGUUUGUCAUCAGAUCAACAGUUUUUCUCUGUCAUCACGUUACCAUCGUUCACAGCCAUGUGGAACACGUGACCGUGGGCUCCGAAAAUGACUGCCCGCAGAAUCUCAGUGACAGGGUUUGAAGAGCUUCUGGAGUGGAGAACACAUCUACCCUGGAAGAGGCUGGCUCAUCCCAAGCCCACAGGGCGCCCCUUCCUAGUGCCCCCUCAACUGGCUGCUCAUUUGCACACUGUAUGACAGACUGUAUAGUGUUAAGUGAAAAUUGCAGGUCAUCAUGGACCAGGUUCCUAAGCCACACUAAACAGAAACUAGACUGGUAUCUGACAUUCCAAGAAAUCAGGAGAAAGAUAACAGCUGGAUUUCCCCAGAGGCAGCUUCAGCUGGCACAAUACUGGUUCUCCUUCAGCCUUAAUCCUGGUUCUCUCUCAGCCUUAGUCCUUCUCCAAAAUAGACUCCAGAAGCAAGGGCCUGUUCUCACCACAAGCCAGCACGACUGCUGAGAUGCAGUUGGAGGUAGGACCUGGUAUGAACUGAAGCCCCAAGACAUAUUUCAAUAGCCCAUCAGACUUCCCUCAUGAAAUGUCUAUUCCAAAAAUAAAAUAAAAUUGGAAAUGUGUGAGCACAGCUUGUACACUCAAGGACGCUGUGGUAGUUUAAGUUUAGUUGGCCCUCAAAAUCUCAUAGGGAGUGGUACUAUUAGGAGAGGCGGCUUUG